Molecule: ribosomal RNA, 257 nt
Filed under: uncultured bacterium
Lineage: Bacteria
Description: partial 16S ribosomal RNA
Rfam family: Bacterial small subunit ribosomal RNA
Source: RNAcentral
GGGAAGCGAAACCGCGAGGUAGAGCAAAUCCCCAAAAACGGUACUCAGUUCGGAUUGCAGGCUGCAACUCGCCUGUAUGAAGUCGGAAUUGCUAGUAAUCGCGGAUCAGCAUGCCGCGGUGAAUACGUUCCCGGGCCUUGUACACACCGCCCGUCACACCAUGAGAGCCGGGAACACCCGAAGUCCGUAGUCUAACCGCAAGGAGGACGCGGCCGAAGGUGGGUUUGGUAAUUGGGGUGAAGUCGUAACAAGGUACC